RNAcentral lists this ribosomal RNA (607 nucleotides) under uncultured bacterium. RNAcentral describes it as "bacterial SSU rRNA". The stretch from base 1 to 518 matches the Rfam family "Bacterial small subunit ribosomal RNA", at positions 338 to 873 of the family's 1533-position model. The record is from RNAcentral.
CCUACGGGAGGCAGCAGUGGGGAAUAUUGGACAAUGGGCGAAAGCCUGAUCCAGCAAUGCCGCGUGAGUGAUGAAGGCCUUAGGGUUGUAAAGCUCUUUUACCAGGGAUGAUAAUGACAGUACCUGGAGAAUAAGCUCCGGCUAACUCCGUGCCAGCAGCCGCGGUAAUACGGAGGGAGCUAGCGUUGUUCGGAAUUACUGGGCGUAAAGCGUACGUAGGCGGUUAUUCAAGUCAGAGGUGAAAGCCCGGGGCUCAACCCCGGAACGGCCUUUGAAACUAGGUAGCUAGAGUCUUGGAGAGGUUAGUGGAAUUCCGAGUGUAGAGGUGAAAUUCGUAGAUAUUCGGAAGAACACCAGUGGCGAAGGCGACUAACUGGACAAGUACUGACGCUGAGGUACGAAAGCGUGGGGAGCAAACAGGAUUAGAUACCCUGGUAGUCCACGCCGUAAACGAUGAUAACUAGCUGUUCGGGCACUUGGUGCCUGAGUGGCGCAGCUACGACAUUAAGUUAUCCGUCCGUCGGGUAGGUACGGUCGCGAGAAUUAAACUACAAAGAAGUUAGUACGGACGUGAGACGUGCCGAACGGACGACGACGAGGGAGUAGG